Molecule: ribosomal RNA, 488 nt
Filed under: uncultured bacterium
Lineage: Bacteria
Description: bacterial SSU rRNA
Rfam family: Bacterial small subunit ribosomal RNA
Source: RNAcentral
CAGGUGGUGCAUGGUUGUCGUCAGCUCGUGUCGUGAGAUGUUGGGUUAAGUCCCGCAACGAGCGCAACCCUUAUUGUUAGUUGCUACGCAAGAGCACUCUAGCGAGACUGCCGUUGACAAAACGGAGGAAGGUGGGGACGACGUCAAAUCAUCAUGCCCCUUAUGUCCUGGGCCACACACGUACUACAAUGGUGGUCAACAGAGGGAAGCAAUACCGCGAGGUGGAGCAAAUCCCUAAAAGCCAUCCCAGUUCGGAUCGCAGGCUGCAACCCGCCUGCGUGAAGUUGGAAUCGCUAGUAAUCGCGGAUCAGCAUGCCGCGGUGAAUACGUUCCCGGGCCUUGUACACACCGCCCGUCACACCAUGAGAGUCGGGAACACCCGAAGUCCGUAGCCUAACCGCAAGGGGGGCGCGGCCGAAGGUGGGUUCGAUAAUUGGGGUGAAGUCGUAACAAGGUAGCCGUAUCGGAAGGUGCGGCUGGAUCACCUC